Macaca mulatta (Rhesus monkey) is the source of this 1612-nucleotide long non-coding RNA. Lineage: Eukaryota; Metazoa; Chordata; Mammalia; Primates; Cercopithecidae. The record is from Ensembl.
AUGGUUAACCCACUGUCCGCCGGCGCGGCCGGGCGGCUUUUGUAUCGGAGUCGCCCUGGGACGCGUCCUCCUCGGCCCCCGCCCCGCCCGCCGCGCUCGCUGCGGGUCGCUCUCCCCCCACCCCGCUCCGGGUCUCCCUCUCCCCUUGCCGGCAGCCACCCGCCUCUGUCUCGAGUUCUCCCCCACCUCUGUCUCUGUCUCUCUCCCCCCCCUCCCUCCACCCUGUCUCUUUUCUCUCUCAUUUUCUCUCUGUUUUUUCUGUUUCUCCUCCCACCUCUUCCCGCCUCUCUCCCCCUCUGUUUCUGUCUCUCCCUCAACCCCCAACCUCUCUCUCUCUGUUUCUCUCUCUCCCCGCUUACCUCUCUCUCCUCUGUCUCUCCCCCCACCUCUCUCUCUCCCUCUGUUUCUCUCUCUUCGCUGUCUGUCUCCCCUCCACCUCCCAUUUUCUCUGUUUCUCUCCCCCUCACCUCUCUCCCUCUGUCUCUCUCCUCCCCCUCACCUCUCUCUGUUUCUCUGUUUUUUUCUGUUUCUCCCUCCUCCCACCUCUACCCCCCUCCCCGUCUCUCUGUUUGUGUGUCUGUCCCUCUCCUCCAUCUCUCUCUCCGUUUCUCUGUCUCCCCCCUUACCUAUCUCCCUCAUCUCUCUCUCCCUCUGUUUCUCUACCCCCAACUCCCACUCGCUCUGUUUCUCUCCCCUUCACCUCUCUCUCUCUCUCUGUCUCUUUCCCCCCUCACCUCUCUCUCUGUUUCUCUGUUUCUCCCUUUCCCCAGCUCUCUCCUAUGGGACAGAAUCAGAGGAGAGGACAGGAGGCCGGAAGGAAGCCAGCGCUUAGAUUUUAGUUUCUCUUCUUGCCCUCACCCCUUUCCCUCCCUCCUCUAGGAGACAGGGGCCCCUGUGCCUGCGCCUGUGUGUGUGUGUGUCGGGUGUAUGUGUUGUGUGCUUGCAUGUGUGUGUGCAUUGUGUGUGGUGUGUAUGUGCCUGUGUGUGGUGUGUUUUCUGUUUGUGUUUUGUGUGUGUGGUAUGUGUGUCUGUGUGUGGUGUGUGAUGUGCUUGUGUGGUGUGUGCGUGUGUGUGGUGUGUAUGUGGUGUGUGCAUGUGUGUGGUGUAUUUUGUAUGUGUGGUGUGCUUUUGUGUGUGUGGUGUGUGCAUGUGUGUGGUGUGUGUAUGUUUUGGGUGGUGUGUGUGGUGUGUGCAUGUGUGGUGUGUGUUUUGUGUGUGUGUGGUGUGAGUGUGCAUACUCGCGUUGUGUGUGAGUACCUGUGUGUGUGCAUACCUGUGUUGUGUGUGUGAGUACCUGUGUGUGCGUGUAGUGUGUUUUUUGUGUGUGGUGUGUGUUUUGCAUGUGUGUGGUGUGUAGUGUGUUUUGUGUGUGGUGUGUGUUUCGCAUGUGUGGUGUGUGUGGUCUGUAUGGUGUGUGUUUUGUGUGUGUGGUGUGUUGGGUGUGUGUGCAUACCUGUGUGGUGUGCGGUGUUUUUUGUGUGUAGGGUGUGUGUGGUGUGCGUGUGGUGUGUUUUGUGUGUGUGUGGUGUGUGUGUGUACCUGUGUGGUGUGCGUGUGGUGUGUUUUUUUGUGUGUGUGUGUACCUGUGUGGUGUGUGUGUUUUAUGUGUGUG